UUCGCAAUGCCCGAAAGGGUGACGAAGCGACACCGCGUGUGGGAAGAAGGCCUUCGGGUUGUAAACCACUGUUGGGAGUUAGGAAGUGUGGAGGUGUUAAUAGCGCUUUCACUUGACUAAAGCUCCAGAGGAAGCCACGGCUAACUCUGUGCCAGCAGCCGCGGUAAUACAGAGGCGGCAAGCGUUGUUCGGAAUUAUUGGGCGUAAAGAGCACGUAGGCGGCUCUGCAAGUCAGCUGUGAAAGCCUUCUGCUUAACGGAAGAACGGCAGUUGAAACUACAGGGCUUGAGUGCGGGAGGGGAGAGUGGAACUUCUGGUGGAGCGGUGAAAUGCGUAGAUAUCAGAAGGAACGCCGGCGGCGAAAGCGACUCUCUGGCCCGUAACUGACGCUGAGUGUGCGAAAGCUAGGGGAGCAAACGGGAUUAGAUACCCCGGUAGUCCUAGCCGUAAACGAUGGGCACUAAGUAGAGGGGUUUU
This 477-nucleotide ribosomal RNA is filed under the name uncultured bacterium. RNAcentral describes it as "bacterial SSU rRNA". It matches the Rfam family "Bacterial small subunit ribosomal RNA", at positions 365 to 832 of the family's 1533-position model. The record is from RNAcentral.